RNAcentral lists this ribosomal RNA (253 nucleotides) under uncultured bacterium. RNAcentral's name for it is "partial 16S ribosomal RNA". It matches the Rfam family "Bacterial small subunit ribosomal RNA", at positions 524 to 776 of the family's 1533-position model. The record is from RNAcentral.
GACGAACCGAGCGAACGUUGUUCGGAAUCACUGGGCUUAAAGGGUGCGUAGGCGGGCUGCCAAGUUUGAGGUGAAAUCCUCCGGCUCAACCGGGGAAGUGCCUUGAAUACUGGCGGUCUGGAGGGAGGUAGGGGCGUGCGGAACUAACGGUGGAGCGGUGAAAUGCGUUGAUAUCGUUAGGAACUCCGGUGGCGAAGGCGGCACGCUAGACCUCUUCUGACGCUGAGGCACGAAAGCCAGGGGAGCGAACAGG